AUUGAACGCUGGCGGCAUGCCUUACACAUGCAAGUCGAACGGCAGCACGGGGUCAGCCCUGGAGGCGAGUGGCGCACGGGAGUGUUAUACAGCGGAGCGUGCGCUCGCGUGGGGGAUCACGUCGCGAGAGUUGCUCUUAUACCACACACGCUCUGGAGGAGAACGCGGGGGCGCAUGGGCCUUCGCGGGCGGGGCGCCGGCGAUGUCAGAUUAGGUAGUUGGUGGGGUAAAGGCAUACCAAGCCGACGAUCUGUAGCUGGUCUGAGAGGAAGAUCAGCCACACUGGGACUGAGACACGGCCCAGACUCCUACGGGAGGCAGCAGUGGGGAAUUUUGGACAAUGGGCGCAAGCCUGAUCCAGCCAUGCCGCGUGCAGGACGAAGGCCUUCGGGUUGUAAACUGCUUUUGUACGGAACGAAAAGGCUCUGGCUAAUACCUGGGGCUCAUGACGGUACCGUAAGAAUAAGCACCGGCUAACUACGUG
Molecule: ribosomal RNA, 484 nt
Filed under: uncultured bacterium
Lineage: Bacteria
Description: partial 16S ribosomal RNA
Rfam family: Bacterial small subunit ribosomal RNA
Source: RNAcentral